AUGCUUGCCAUGCGCGCCUAAGAAUGUUGAUGCCCAGUGCCCAUGUCAAAGGCCAGGACUACAGGGCUGGGCACAAUCCCAGCACUUUAAAAGCAGAAGAGACCUCUAGAAUUCAAGGUUUAGAGCUCGCAAACUCCCGCGCCUUUCCGCUCCAGCCCACAGUGCUGUGUUAGGCCUAGGUAAACAGAUGACCUCCGGGAAAGGACGUCAGCUGCCCUAAGGCUGCCGAGGGGCGUCGGGCUGUUGCCUCGAGAGAAGGUGGAGAAGAGAGUUCCGUGCCUUUCCUCUGCAACUCGUGCCAACCGAGGACAGUGCGAAAAGCUUGGCCGAGGGUCCCAGCUAAUCUCACCAGGUCGUCCCAUGUGACUGAGCCAAGAUCUCGCGGGAUUUACUAUCACAAAGACAAACCCUCCUGCCACCUCUUCCCAUUGGUCCCCACCUACCUCUUGCCCGCGACUAGUUUCUGGAGGAAAGUGUCCACUAUGGUAUCGAGGAGUUUCACCCUGGAGAUGGUCGUGUCGCCUGGCACAGCUUCCGUAGAUGAACCCUCGGGCCCCUUUUCCGCAGCCUCAUUAUCUUGGCUCACUCCAGCCAUGUUGAAAUUGAACCGCCAAAAUGAACUGGUCCUGCAGCUCCUCCCAACAGGACCUCCGAUUGGAGGCAAGGGAAUGCCCGUCACUGAGCCGGAUGGGGCGGGACAGUUGCCAGAGACAAGUAGUGCCUCGGACAAUUCUCAGGGGAAAAAGCAAAGACCCAAAAGCCAAAGUUUAGGGGCUCAAUAAAAACUUUUAAUUACA
Molecule: non-coding RNA, 797 nt
Organism: Rattus norvegicus (Norway rat)
Lineage: Eukaryota; Metazoa; Chordata; Mammalia; Rodentia; Muridae
Source: RefSeq, a predicted model, not a curated record